This 460-nucleotide ribosomal RNA is filed under the name uncultured Azospira sp. RNAcentral's name for it is "bacterial SSU rRNA". It matches the Rfam family "Bacterial small subunit ribosomal RNA", at positions 923 to 1382 of the family's 1533-position model. The record is from RNAcentral. Lineage: Bacteria; Pseudomonadati; Pseudomonadota; Betaproteobacteria; Rhodocyclales; Rhodocyclaceae.
GCACAAGCGGUGGAGCAUGUGGUUUAAUUCGACGCAACGCGAAGAACCUUACCUGGGCUAGACAACGGUGGACAUCCCCAGAGAUGGGGCUUUCCCUUCGGGGACUGCCGGUUCAGGUGCUGCAUGGCUGUCGUCAGCUCGUGUCGUGAGAUGUUGGGUUAAGUCCCGCAACGAGCGCAACCCUCGCCAUUAGUUGCCAUCAUUAAGUUGGGCACUCUAGUGGGACUGCCGGUGAUAAGCCGGAGGAAGGUGGGGAUGACGUCAAGUCCGCAUGGCCUUUAUGUCCGGGGCUACACACACGCUACAAUGGUCGGUACAAUGGGUUGCUAAGCCGCGAGGUGGAGCCAAUCCCCCAAAGCCGGCCUCAGUUCAGAUUGCAGGCUGCAACUCGCCUGCAUGAAGCUGGAGUUGCUAGUAAACGCGCGUCAGCUAUAGUGCGUUGAAUACGUUCUCGGGCCUU